RNAcentral lists this small nuclear RNA (104 nucleotides) under Jaculus jaculus (lesser Egyptian jerboa). RNAcentral's name for it is "U1 spliceosomal RNA (ENSJJAG00000008412.1)". It matches the Rfam family "U1 spliceosomal RNA", at positions 16 to 119 of the family's 166-position model. Rfam says of the family: U1 is a small nuclear RNA (snRNA) component of the spliceosome (involved in pre-mRNA splicing). The record is from RNAcentral. Lineage: Eukaryota; Metazoa; Chordata; Mammalia; Rodentia; Dipodidae.
GGGAGAUACCAUGAUCAGGAAUGUGGUUUUCCCAGGACAAGGAUUAUCCAUUUCUCUCAGGUUGUGCUUGAUCCCUGUGAUUUCCACAAAUGAGGGAAACUUAA